ACUCUCCCCUAUAUCUCUAGUCUAUGUAGAAUAAAGAAACAAACGGCAAUACGCACAGUAAAACUCAGUUUGAAAGAAGUCCCAGUCCGAUGUCAGUAUAGGUGAUAAAAGAAACUAAACAAAAUGACAAUAAUACAGAAAUAAACAAAGGACUACUAUCAAUUACGGAUAUGCCAGGCCCAGACAUCAAUUAAAAUGAUCGAAAGAUUAUCAUAUACAAAUCAAGCGCAAUCCUUCCCGUAAGGGGUUUAGUAUCAUGUCAUCAUAAAAUAUAUAAGAAGAACAUAACCCGUGGCAUGCCAACAACUAGUUUUAGAAUAAAUAUGAUUAU
Molecule: long non-coding RNA, 331 nt
Filed under: Mytilus galloprovincialis (Mediterranean mussel)
Lineage: Eukaryota; Metazoa; Mollusca; Bivalvia; Mytilida; Mytilidae
Source: RNAcentral